AUUGAACGCUGGCGGCAGGCCUAACACAUGCAAGUCGAGCGGAUGAAGGGAGCUUGCUCCUGGAUUCAGCGGCGGACGGGUGAGUAAUGCCUAGGAAUCUGCCUGGUAGUGGGGGAUAACGUCCGGAAACGGGCGCUAAUACCGCAUACGUCCUGAGGGAGAAAGUGGGGGAUCUUCGGACCUCACGCUAUCAGAUGAGCCUAGGUCGGAUUAGCUAGUUGGUGGGGUAAAGGCCUACCAAGGCGACGAUCCGUAACUGGUCUGAGAGGAUGAUCAGUCACACUGGAACUGAGAGACGGUCCAGACUCCGACUGGAGGCAGCAGUGGGGAAGAUUGGACAAGGGGAGAAAGUCUGAUCCAGCCAUGCCGCGUGUGUGAAGAAGGUCUUCGGAUUGUAAAGCACUUUAAGUUGGGAGGAAGGGCAGGAAGUUAAUAACUUGCUGUUUUGACGUUACCAACAGAAUAAGCACCGGCUAACUUCGUG
This 484-nucleotide ribosomal RNA is filed under the name uncultured bacterium. RNAcentral describes it as "partial 16S ribosomal RNA". It matches the Rfam family "Bacterial small subunit ribosomal RNA", at positions 30 to 507 of the family's 1533-position model. The record is from RNAcentral.